CGCAGAGCUUCGGUCGUUGGAGCGGGCGCUGCCCAGGAUGGACAUCUGUGGUCUCAGACAGCGAUUCCCCAGGAGCAAGGGGAGCCUUGGCCUGGCCUGCACGGCUCAGGAUGGGAAAAAUCACUGAACUCCUCCCAUCUUUGCCAAGAGCUGUGGUGCUUAAGCAGCCAAAGCCAAGAGGCUUCGGCACCGGGGGUCUGCGCUGGAGGGGCUCCUGGUCCUGCCCACGCUGGGGGGUGAAUCAGAGGGAUGCGGGGUUCCUCUUUUCCCCUCUGCUGGGAUGAACUGCCUGGGGAACGCCAUUUCUGCCAGCCCGGUCCUGCCCGUGUCUGCUGGAGAAGGCAAGA
Molecule: long non-coding RNA, 347 nt
Organism: Hirundo rustica (Barn swallow)
Lineage: Eukaryota; Metazoa; Chordata; Aves; Passeriformes; Hirundinidae
Exons: 3
Source: RefSeq, a predicted model, not a curated record